CAGCAGCCGCGGGAAUACGAAGGGGGCUAGCGUUGCUCGGAAUGACUGGGCGUAAAGGGCGCGUAGGCGGUUUUGACAGUCAGAUGUGAGAUUUCUGGGCUUAACCUGGGGGCUGCAUUUGAGACGUCAAGACUGGAGUGUGAGAGAGGGUUGUGGAAUUCCCAGUGUAGAGGUGAAAUUCGUAGAUAUUGGGAAGAACACCGGUGGCGAAGGCGGCAACCUGGCUCAUUACUGACGCUGAGGCGCGAAAGCGUGGGGAGCAAACAGGAUUAGAUACCCGCGUAGUCCCUGUCUCUUAUAC
This 301-nucleotide ribosomal RNA is filed under the name uncultured bacterium. RNAcentral describes it as "partial 16S ribosomal RNA". It matches the Rfam family "Bacterial small subunit ribosomal RNA", at positions 509 to 807 of the family's 1533-position model. The record is from RNAcentral.